This is a non-coding RNA of Caerostris darwini, 73 nucleotides long. Lineage: Eukaryota; Metazoa; Arthropoda; Arachnida; Araneae; Araneidae. The record is from the annotation of a GenBank genome assembly.
GGGCCAGUGGCGCAACGGAUAACGCGCCUGAUUACGGAUCACGCGACUCCAGGUUCGAAUCCUGGCUGCCUCG